CUGGGACAAGCCCUGGAAACGGGGUCUAAUACCGGAUAUCACUCUCGCAGGCAUCUGUGAGGGUCGAAAGCUCCGGCGGUGCAGGAUGAGCCCGCGGCCUAUCAGCUUGUUGGUGAGGUAACGGCUCACCAAGGCGACGACGGGUAGCCGGCCUGAGAGGGCGACCGGCCACACUGGGACUGAGACACGGCCCAGACUCCUACGGGAGGCAGCAGUGGGGAAUAUUGCACAAUGGGCGAAAGCCUGAUGCAGCGACGCCGCGUGAGGGAUGACGGCCUUCGGGUUGUAAACCUCUUUCAGCAGGGAAGAAGCGAAAGUGACGGUACCUGCAGAAGAAGCGCCGGCUAACUACGUGCCAGCAGCCGCGGUAAUACGUAGGGCGCAAGCGUUGUCCGGAAUUAUUGGGCGUAAAGAGCUCGUAGGCGGCUUGUCACGUCGGGUGUGAAAGCCCGGGGCUUAACCCCGGGUCUGCAUUCGAUACGGGCAGGCUAGAGUGUGGUAGGGGAGAUCGGAAUUCCUGGUGUAGCGGUGAAAUGCGCAGAUAUCAGGAGGAACACCGGUGGCGAAGGCGGAUCUCUGGGCCAUUACUGACGCUGAGGAGCGAAAGCGUGGGGAGCGAACAGGAUUAGAUACCCUGGUAGUCCACGCCGUAAACGGUGGGAACUAGGUGUUGGCGACAUUCCACGUCGUCGUGCCGCAG
Molecule: ribosomal RNA, 700 nt
Filed under: Streptomyces sp. YIM 75724 Cn
Lineage: Bacteria; Bacillati; Actinomycetota; Actinomycetes; Kitasatosporales; Streptomycetaceae
Description: bacterial SSU rRNA
Rfam family: Bacterial small subunit ribosomal RNA
Source: RNAcentral